This is a long non-coding RNA of Balaenoptera acutorostrata (minke whale), 529 nucleotides long. RefSeq lists it as uncharacterized. The transcript has 4 exons. The record is from RefSeq and is a predicted model, not a curated record. Lineage: Eukaryota; Metazoa; Chordata; Mammalia; Artiodactyla; Balaenopteridae.
GGUGGGGGCAGCCGGGUGUGGCACCCUCGUCGUCCAGCAACGGCUCCCGACCCACGCCAACCGCCGGACGGAGCGAUGGGUCCAUUAGGCCUCGGCGCCUCGGUUUGAUGGUGACAUGGGCAAAGCACCCAUUACUACCAAUUCAGCGGGUCCCACACGCCAAGCCCCGCUCGUUACCCAUGUAAUGGACUUUCAUCCUUACCACAAACCCGACAGAUAAACAGAGGCCCAGGGAGCUGAAGUUUUCCCAGCAUUUCCCGUUGGAAUUCUCUCCUUCACCCUGAGGAAUGAGACCAAGGGCUCCUCUGAUUGGAACUGGAGGGGACAUGGGUUCGAUCCCUGGUCCGGGAAGAUCCCACAUGCCGUGGAGCAACUAAGCCCAUGAGCCACAACUACUGAGCCCGCGCGCCUACAGCCCGUGCUCCGCAACAAGAGAAGCCACCGCAAUGAGAAGCCCGUGCACCGCCACGAAGAGUAGCCCCCACUCACCGCAACUAGAGAAAGCCCGCGCACAGCAACGAAGACCCAA